Molecule: non-coding RNA, 357 nt
Organism: Schizosaccharomyces pombe (fission yeast)
Lineage: Eukaryota; Fungi; Ascomycota; Schizosaccharomycetes; Schizosaccharomycetales; Schizosaccharomycetaceae
Source: the annotation of a GenBank genome assembly
AAAAGCCUACCUCUUUCCACCCCUCUUUCAUAAAAUUUAUUCCUAUGUAAACAAACCGACGUACUGAACGACUCGUCGUCCCCUCUCCUCUUAAUCCUAUUCACCGUCUGUUUCUCCUCAUCUAUUCUACUCUAUUCUUUUAUCCGCUUCUGUCAAGUGAGUCGCGGCCUGCUUCCAAACAUUUCUAUCCAACAACAAUUCCCAUUUUUUUCACUAAGACGGCUAACAACAAAUUUAUUCCAAACCUAGCUAAACUUUACUACUCCAUCCAAACACUCGUUCUCUUCCCCCUUUUCCGCCUUUAAAAAACUCAAAACUCUUUAAGAAUACAAAAGAAAAGCUAAAUUGUAAAAAUCU